AGAGUUUGAUCAUGGCUCAGGAUGAACGCUAGCGGCAGGCUUAAUACAUGCAAGUCGUGGGGCAGCGCGGGUAGCAAUACCUGGCGGCGACCGGCAAACGGGUGCGGAACACGUACGCAACCUUCCUUCAAGUGGGGAAUAGCCCAGGGAAACUUGGAUUAAUACCCCGUAAUACUAUGAGGUGGCAUCACCUUAUACUUAUAGCUCCGGCGCUUGAAGAUGGGCGUGCGCCUGAUUAGGUAGUUGGCGGGGUAACGGCCCACCAAGCCUACGAUCAGUAACUGGUGUGAGAGCACGACCAGUCACACGGGCACUGAGACACGGGCCCGACUCCUACGGGAGGCAGCAGUAAGGAAUAUUGGGCAAUGGACGCAAGUCUGACCCAGCCAUGCCGCGUGGAGGAUGAAGGUCCUCUGGAUUGUAAACUUCUUUUAUCUGGGAAGAAACCCAUGAUUUCUAUUGUGGUUGACGGUACCAGAUGAAUAAGCACCGGCUAACUCCGUGCCAGCAGCCGCGGUAAUACGGAGGGUGCAAGCGUUAUCCGGAUUCACUGGGUUUAAAGGGUGCGUAGGUGGGUAUGUAAGUCAGUGGUGAAAUCCCCGAGCUUAACUUGGGAACUGCCGUUGAUACUAUAUAUCUUGAAUAUCGCGUAGGUAAGCGGAAUAUGUCAUGUAGCGGUGAAAUGCUUAGAUAUGACAUAGAACACCAAUUGCGAAAGGCAGCUUACUUCACGAUUAUUGACACUGAGGCACGUAAGCGUGGGGAGCAAACAGGAUUAGAUACCCCCGUAGUCC
Molecule: ribosomal RNA, 794 nt
Filed under: uncultured bacterium
Lineage: Bacteria
Description: bacterial SSU rRNA
Rfam family: Bacterial small subunit ribosomal RNA
Source: RNAcentral